RNAcentral lists this ribosomal RNA (358 nucleotides) under Tachina nupta. RNAcentral's name for it is "partial 12S ribosomal RNA". The record is from RNAcentral. Lineage: Eukaryota; Metazoa; Arthropoda; Insecta; Diptera; Tachinidae.
UUAAAAUGUAAAUUUUUUAAAAACUUAGGUAGUAAUAGUUAUGUUCUUGAAACUUAAAAAAUUUGGCGGUAUUUUAGUCUAUUCAGAGGAACCUGUUUUAUAAUCGAUAAUCCACGAUGGACCUUACUUAGAUUUGUAACCAGUUUAUAUAUCGUCGUUAUUAGAAUAUUUUAUUAGAAAGUUAAUUUUCAAAAUUUUAUAAAAGAAAAUAUAUCAGAUCAAGGUGUAGCUUAUGUUUAAGUAAAAAUGGGUUACAAUAAAAAUAUUUAUAUGAAUAUAAAUUUGAAAUAUUUAUUGAAGGUGGAUUUGAUAGUAAAAUUAUAAAGAUUAAUAAUUUGAUUUUAGCUCUAAAAUAUGU